CUGGGGUGGUGCAGGAGACCCCCCGGGGGCCAGGCCGCGAGGGGCUGCGAGGACUGCUGGUCCCCAAACGGGCAGAGACCCGAGGACCGGGGCCGGCGGGGACAGCAGACGGUGGGGUUCAGGGAAUUGACGCACAGCGCCGGGGUUCCCGAGGCUCCCCAGGCCGGGCCCUUUCCUGAGCUCACACUGGGCGGGGGCCCGGCCUGCCAGCCUCGGGGCCGCGUGUGCCCGAGCCCCGGAGCCUGCGCCCUGGUGGCGCGUCGGAGCCCACGCGAGCAUCAGCACUGCUGCAGCCGCCCGUGCGAGGGCCCGGGCCGUGUUCAGCCCCCGUCGGGUCUCCCUUCCAGCCUCCGCCCCUCGCCCUCCGUCGCCGCCGCCGGGCACCUGUCUGCUACCCUCUAGUGGCCAGAAGCCUGGCUCCCUGGAGGAAAGGGGACUCUCCCACACCGGGUACGACACCGACACGGACACCGACACCGACACCGGGUAGUCCUGGCCGCCGGGGGGCCUCCCGGGGCCUGGGGUCCCCUCUAAGCGCGCAGACCCCGCCGGAGACCCUGACACGGCAGCACGGACGGGGAGGAGGCGGCCCCAGGCCUGCGUUCAGGCGGCCGCCCAGCUACGCGGUUCCGGGGCCUCCCCACGGGUAAAAACACGGUUGUUCACGCUUAAUAGCCCCUAAGGUCUCCUCCAGACUAGUUCUCUGCAUCUGGGAUGUGGGAGCUGGGUACCCCUCCCACGCCCCCCGUUAGCGCCGGGGCGGCCAAGCUUAGGCUCGGUGGGCCAGGUAGCCGCUCACACAGGGUGGCUCCCCUCCAGAGCCGACCCCUCCCUUGUCCCUAGCGCCAGGUGACUAACAAGGCCACCUCCUGGGACCCUCUCCUCUUAGUCCCCACAACUGCUGGGCCCCCAGGACGGGGCUUGGGCUCCAGGGCCCCCUCCCCUUGGCCACGGGUGGCGGGAGAGCCCGGGGGCUGGCGGUAGGAUUUUCCCCAGCCCUUCAGGGGGCCUCCCCCAGGAGCCCGAGGCGGGCACACCCUCCACCCAGUCACUCACCCUGGAAUGUGGGCGAACCGGCUCCUAGCCCCAGGACGGCUCACAUGCUCCCCUGCCCUGGGGGACACCUGGCCAAGGCUCCCGAGGGUGGGAUGAGAAGGAUGUUUGCCUUCACGGGGCUUCACAUUGGGGACGGGCCGAGAUAAGGAAGCCCUAUAGGCCGGCCCUUAUCUCCCGGUGUUGAUGCCCCCGCAGCCGGCAGCGCGGUGGUGUUAUGGGUAAGUGGGAAGGACUCCAGCUCGAGGUCAGGGCCUGGGAGGUGUUGUGGGGAGGAGCUGCAGUAGGACGGGGGCGCAGCCCCCCACGCUCUCCCCGGGAGGCCUGGUCCUGGGGGUAUGGGGUGGCAAGAGCCCGGCCUCCACCCUCUACGAGGGCAGCCGCGUCCCGCAGGACUAGGGGGGCCGAAGGUGGAGACAGGGCCGGCAACGCAAGGCGGGGUCCCCGUGCUGGGCACCUCGAGGACUCACCACGCUAGUGGGGCCCAGGAGCGGCGGUCACGGCGCCCCAGACACCACGCUGGGCAGUCGGGGAGGCCUGUGGGCGGCACGUGGACGGAAGGGCCUGAAGGAGCCCAGGGCCGAGGACGAGGCCGUCACCCGCCGGCCCACCGCCUCCGUCCCCUAACUCGUGCGAGGAGCCUCCAGGAGCCUGUUUCGGGGGCUGCGCCGCGUGCUCUCUCCCAAGCCCUGCGCGGCGGAGGCGGAGGCCCGAGCCGAUGACCUCCAAAGCCAAGGACACAGCCAAGGCGGAGACUCAAGAAGAGAUAAAUGUCUGGAUCAAACGCAGGCGAGGCCCAGGAAGGAAGAGGCCAGAGGAAAAGACGCUACAAUACACAGGUUUCAAGCAAAGGAAGAGAUGAACAGGUGGUGCCGCACGCAGGGAAUUGGGCUCCUUCAUAGGAAGUGGGAUGGGGCUCCCUUGCACGGCCCCCCACCACCCUGCGGCCCGUCCUUCGUCCUUCCACCUGCGUGUGCGCCACCCCCACCUCCUCCACCUGCGAGCUCCCCCCAGACAGGGAAGUGCUGUCAGCCUCUGAGGCCCCUCCCCUCCCCGCGACCUCACAACAUCUGCUCCGCAGAGGGCACAUGUGGAAGCAAGAAAUUUCACACGUUACCUCCACCUUAGAUACUUGUCACUUAAAAAUGUUUAUUAGAAUAAAGAUUAAACCUA
Long non-coding RNA from Nyctereutes procyonoides (raccoon dog), 2226 nucleotides. RefSeq lists it as uncharacterized. The transcript has 2 exons. Lineage: Eukaryota; Metazoa; Chordata; Mammalia; Carnivora; Canidae. The record is from RefSeq and is a predicted model, not a curated record.